RNAcentral lists this ribosomal RNA (848 nucleotides) under uncultured bacterium. RNAcentral's name for it is "bacterial SSU rRNA". It matches the Rfam family "Bacterial small subunit ribosomal RNA", at positions 46 to 935 of the family's 1533-position model. The record is from RNAcentral.
GCUUAUACAUGCAGUYGUACGAGAGUUUUUAAYUCAAGUGGCGGACGGGUGAGUAACACGUAAGAAUUUGCCUUUAGGAGGGGGAYAACAACUGGAAACGGUUGCUAAUACCCCAUAUGCUUUCGAGUGAAAUGGAUUUUUCCGCCUAGAGAGRAGCUUGCGGCUGAUUAGCUUGUYGGUGAGGUAAURGCUYACCAAGGCGACGAUCAGUAUCUGGUUUGAGAGGACGAUCAGACACACUGGAACUGAGACACGGUCCAGACUCCUACGGGAGGCAGCAGUAGGGAAUUUUCCGCAAUGGGCGAAAGCCUGACGGAGCAAUCUCGCGUGAGGGAUGACGGCCUAUGGGUUGUAAACCUCUUUUUUCAGGGAGGAAUAAMAUGACGUGUACCUGAAGAAUAAGCAUCGGCUAACUCCGUGCCAGCAGCCGCGGUAAGACGGAGGAUGCAAGUGUUAUCCGGAAUCACUGGGCGUAAAGCGUCUGUAGGUGGUUUARUAAGUCAACUGUUAAAUCUUGAAGCUCAACUUCRAAAUCGCAGUCGAAACUAUUAGACUAGAGUAUAGUAGGGGUAAAGGGAAUUUCCAGUGGAGCGGUGAAAUGCGUAGAGAUUGGAAAGAACACCGAUGGCGAAGGCACUUUACUGGGCUAUUACURACACUCAGAGACGAAAGCUAGGGUAGCAAAUGGGAUUAGAUACCCCAGYAGUCCUAGCCGUAAACAAUGGAUACUAGAUGUUGAACAGAUCGACCUGUGCAGUAUUAAAGCUAACGCGUUAAGUAUCCCGCCUGGGAAGUAUGCUCGCAAGANUGAAACUCAAAGGAAUUGACGGGGCCCGCACAAGCGGUGG